Molecule: transfer RNA, 70 nt
Filed under: Dipodomys ordii (Ord's kangaroo rat)
Lineage: Eukaryota; Metazoa; Chordata; Mammalia; Rodentia; Heteromyidae
Rfam family: tRNA
About the family: Transfer RNA (tRNA) molecules are approximately 80 nucleotides in length. Their secondary structure includes four short double-helical elements and three loops (D, anti-codon, and T loops).
Source: Rfam by way of RNAcentral
GGGAAUGUGGCUCAGUGGUAGAGUGCUUGCCUAGUGUGCAUGAAGCUCUGGGUUCGAUUCCUCAAUACCA